AUUGAACGCUGGCGGCAGGCCUAACACAUGCAAGUCGAGCGGUAGAGAGGUGCUUGCACCUCUUGAGAGCGGCGGACGGGUGAGUAAUGCCUAGGAAUCUGCCUGGUAGUAGGGGGAUAACGCUCGGAAACGGACGCUAAUACCGCAUACGUCCUACGGGAGAAAGCAGGGGACCUUCGGGCCUUGCGCUAUCAGAUGAG
Molecule: ribosomal RNA, 200 nt
Filed under: uncultured bacterium
Lineage: Bacteria
Description: partial 16S ribosomal RNA
Rfam family: Bacterial small subunit ribosomal RNA
Source: RNAcentral